This 465-nucleotide ribosomal RNA is filed under the name Vreelandella stevensii. RNAcentral describes it as "partial 16S ribosomal RNA". It matches the Rfam family "Bacterial small subunit ribosomal RNA", at positions 338 to 795 of the family's 1533-position model. Lineage: Bacteria; Pseudomonadati; Pseudomonadota; Gammaproteobacteria; Oceanospirillales; Halomonadaceae. The record is from RNAcentral.
CCUACGGGGUGCAGCAGUGGGGAAUAUUGGACAAUGGGCGAAAGCCUGAUCGAGCCAUGCCGCGUGUGUGAAGAAGGCCUUCGGGUUGUAAAGCACUUUCAGUGGGGAAGAAAGCCUUGGGGCUAAUACCCUCGAGGAAGGACAUCACCCACAGAAGAAGCACCGGCUAACUCCGUGCCAGCAGCCGCGGUAAUACGGAGGGUGCGAGCGUUAAUCGGAAUUACUGGGCGUAAAGCGCGCGUAGGCGGUCUGAUAAGUCGGUUGUGAAAGCCCCGGGCUCAACCUGGGAACGGCAUCCGGAACUGUCAGGCUAGAGUGCAGGAGAGGAAGGUAGAAUUCCCGGUGUAGCGGUGAAAUGCGUAGAGAUCGGGAGGAAUACCAGUGGCGAAGGCGGUCUUCUGGACUGACACUGACGCUGAGGUGCGAAAGCGUGGGUAGCAAACAGGAUUAGAUACCCGGGUAGUC